UACGGAGGGUGCAAGCGUUAUCCGGAAUCACUGGGUUUAAAGGGUGCGUAGGCGGCUUAGUAAGUCAGUGGUGAAAGACUGUGGCUUAACCAUGGAAUUGCCAUUGAUACUGCUGAGCUUGAAUCAGGUUGAGGUUGGCGGAAUGUGACAUGUAGCGGUGAAAUGCUUAGAUAUGUCAUGGAACACCGAUUGCGAAGGCAGCUGACUGGACCUGUAUUGACGCUGAGGCACGAAAGCGUGGGGAGCGAACAGGAUUAGAUACCCUGGUAGUCCACGCCCUAAACGAUGCUUACUCGUUGUUUGACACUCCGCAGCAAUGUGGAAGUUGAGUGACUUAGCGAAAGCGAUAAGUAAGCCACCUGGGGAGUACGACCGCAAGGUUGAA
RNAcentral lists this ribosomal RNA (385 nucleotides) under uncultured bacterium. RNAcentral describes it as "bacterial SSU rRNA". It matches the Rfam family "Bacterial small subunit ribosomal RNA", at positions 524 to 898 of the family's 1533-position model. The record is from RNAcentral.